CGUAAUUGGAGGUGCAUCAACUAAAGCGCUGACUUCUGCAAUUGCACUGUCAUCAUUAAAAGAUAAAUCAGAAUGAGUUAGACAUUCCUCUAAUGGAUCAUCAGUAUGGUUAGAAAUGAAUGAAUCUUCUACUAAUUCCUCUAUCAUAUUUGGUUCAACAAAUUCAUCUUCUUCUUGUGGCUGCUUGGUAACAUUAAAAAUAUUCAAUUCCAUGGUCAUAUU
RNAcentral lists this long non-coding RNA (222 nucleotides) under Citrus sinensis (sweet orange). Its description in RNAcentral is "long non-coding RNA (CSIN_LNC001136)". Lineage: Eukaryota; Viridiplantae; Streptophyta; Magnoliopsida; Sapindales; Rutaceae. The record is from RNAcentral.